GGGCGCGUAGCUCAAUUGGCAGAGCAAGGGACUCUUAAUCCCUAGGUUGUAGGUUCGAUUCCUACCGCGCUCACCA
RNAcentral lists this transfer RNA (76 nucleotides) under Deltaproteobacteria bacterium. RNAcentral's name for it is "tRNA-Lys". It matches the Rfam family "tRNA". From Rfam's summary of the family: Transfer RNA (tRNA) molecules are approximately 80 nucleotides in length. RNAcentral also lists the same sequence under 3 other names. The record is from RNAcentral. Lineage: Bacteria; Pseudomonadati; Myxococcota; Myxococcia.